Long non-coding RNA from Cygnus olor (mute swan), 2177 nucleotides. RefSeq lists it as uncharacterized. NCBI's taxonomy places the organism in Eukaryota, Metazoa, Chordata, Aves, Anseriformes, Anatidae. The record is from RefSeq and is a predicted model, not a curated record. The transcript has 3 exons.
AGGCAGCAAUUUAGAGUGAUGAGCUCUGAGAAAAGGAGUUCUUUCAAGGUCUCCAACUGUGCAUGCAAAAGGAGUUAGGAUGUUCCUCUGUAAAAUGAGCGUUCUCUGACUUACUUACCUCUGCUUGUACUAUGUUAUCCUGCCUGAGUGCACAGAGAACCAUGCUGUGUAAACUCCCAGGGUAUAAAAUAGCACCAGAAAUGAGAUUCCAGUCAGUGCAAAUAUUUUACAGAUAGUGGCUGUAGCUAUGGCUGAAACCAAGUGAAAUUGUUGUCCUGCCUGGAAUUAUGAAGGUUGGGAGAGUUGACUUUUCCUAGGGUUAAUAUAGGGGUGAAGGACAAGAUCUGGAUGUGAUCGUAAAGCAGAUAAAAAAAAUUUGUAUUAAAAUAGCACUAUUAUUAAAUGUAUAUCAAUUUGCAAAGAAGGGAGCACUGCAUGCAGUGUUUUACCUUACGUUAGUAUCUGCUUGCCAUUAGAUAUGAUUCAUGUCUUCUCUGGGACAAAAGAAUAACAGUUGAUAUGUUGACCAGAGUGCCUUCGUACUCAUCUAGAUGUGCCCACCAAGAGACAGACAACCUAUGGUGCUAUCUCAGAGAUAACAAUGGCACUCAACAACUGGACAGAAGCUUUAUAACAACCGGCAGCCAAGAGAGCAGAGAAUAUGUAAGCGGUGUGACUGGAGUUUCAAACUAAAGACUGAGGUCUCCAGAUGCUCUACCAGAGGAACGAUUGUUUAGUGCAGGGAGUGACUGAAUCCUGGGGGUUUUGAGCCAGCCAAGUUUUUGCAGACCUGGCUUGUGUCCUGGCUAUACAAGAUUUCAGGCUGCUCUGCAGCUGCUGAAGGAGUUGCUGUGAGACCUAAAGGAGCACACAGAAGAAUCCUUGUUUAGGAGGAGUCUGGGUUGAACGACAAACAGGCAUGCCCUGGGAAAUAUCGAGAAGUGACCGUGCUCCACAGACAUGGUGACAAACUGAAACGUUUUGUUUCCACUUCUCAAAAUAAAGUGUCUUUUAACAGUCCCCAGAUGACUCUAAAAGUUACAGGAAGUUUCUAGAAGCUUUAAUUCUAUUCUGGAGUGGAAAAAAAACAACAAAACUUUGAAUUAAUGGGAACGAACCUAUUUCACCCCAUCCUUCAUCACUGAGGUAUAGUUCUGCAUGGGCACCUUGGGUGACCAUCUUUCACUUUCCUGAAGAGAGGCUUGUAAUACAGGCCUUGAGGAGGCUUGCAAACCAGGAAAGAUACAAUCUGUUAAUCACUGUUGCCUAGUUCCAUUCUUGUGCCAUGUUAGAUCCAAACAGUGAGUUGUCAGAAGGGUAAGAAUCAAUUUUAAGCACUAAAAUACAUCAAACUCUGUAGUCCCCUAAAUUGUUCCAAUACAGAUGAACUUUUUUUUUUUUUUUUUUAAAGCAGCUGUCAAGUGCUCCGCAAGGAAGAUAAAUCUAGUUUUCUGUGUGUUUUGAUCAGUACAUCUGCAAGACUAGCAUCUGCUGUCACAUUUUUGUACUUGAAUGGUAUUUUUCAGUCAGGUCACAGGAUUAUUUUUAAAUAGAAAAUGAUAGUUCAAAUUACAUGAUAACCAAGGGAAAUACAUAUAAAAAUUGACACUUUUUCAUAUUUUGUUUAUAUUUUGAAAAGUGAGAAGGGGGAAGAAAUCUUAUGUUUGUAUUACAAACUUCUUAACUACAUGUUAUGGCAGGCAUGCCCUCCCCCAGGUUUUCACAUAGCUUUUAAUAUUUUUGUUGUUAAGAAAAUCUUUACCAAGUAUGACCAUUUAGGAGCCGUCUGGAACAAAUUGCAACUGCAGUAAAAAGAAAUCUGAAAAUAGAUGUUUUCUGAGUAAAACUACUCAGGGCACAGGAAAGAGGGAAAGACACAAAGUCACAGUUGUGCUCUGCCAUUUGAGACUACAUCCAGCUCGGACUGUUUGCAACGUGCAUGGCUGAACACAAAAACAAGAGGAAUUGCACAUCAACCUUACUGAGCAAACAUCAGGCUCCAAGUCAAAGUUAGUUUCUAGGCUCCCUCUACAGUCAAUGGAGAAAAAUAGUUACCUCUGGAGGGCAGGUUCCUCUGCUUUUCUUGGUCAUGUACUUCACAGGUUUCCAGAUGACUGGAUAUGAAUUUGUGAACAAUGAAGUGAAUGGUCUGUGUAUUUGAGUACUUAAUAAAUGUA